GGAAAAACUUGUCAUGGAUGGGUCAAAAGAGGUUGUAAAUCACUGCUCUAGCUUGGUGCACUGCGAAAGGAUCCACCUCUGCGCUCACCCUCCCAUUUGACUAGAAAAGAGGUAUUUGUUCAAACACAGCAUGGCCUCAGCCUGGAAACACAGCAGCUUCGUGGGAGAUAUUCACCACAGGCGCCCUUCCUGCCCUCUUCCCAUGAACAUCUACCUGAAGCCCCCAAGCAGGAGCCCGCGUGCUUGGGAAGAGUGCUGCAAUAUCAAGUCGAGCUGUCAGAGGCUGUUUGGACUUUCCCCGCCCCAUCAACUUCCCCUGGAUGGCAAGAGCAGCAGCUCCUGGGCUGCCACCUGCACACCACGCUUAGCGUUGACUUCUCCACAGGGCAGUGGCCUCUGCACCGUGGGCACGGCAUCAAGCCAAGAUGCUGCUGAAGGUCGUUCCUUGAAUGCCUGCCAGCUGGACUAGGGGAAGCUGGUUUUGAGCCACUAAAGAAGGAGCUCAGAGCCAGGCAGAAGAAAUCUCUCUCCAGACCUGGCUGUGACUCCCCGAGAGCCACGUGAGGAGUCUGAACCUGCUGCAGGUGGUCCCGGCCCCAGCUCUGUCCGUGCUUUUGGGAGCCACGGGACUGCCCCACCAUCUAUCCGUGCCAGAUUUCAAGGCUCUUUCAGGCGGGAGAAGGGCUGGCUGGCUGGAGAUCAGAGCAGUCGCUCUCCUACACUAGGUCACACAGCCCCUGCCAAGUGUCACUGUGUGCCAUCGUCCCUGCCCUGCCUGCCAAGAGGAGAGCUGCCCGCCGCUCCUCGGCGCCGUCACACACCACCGCGCUGGCCCACGUUAAGUCAACCUAAUGGGGCUCUGCACAGAGCAAGCGUUUCAGUGACCCGGCCUGUGGGCACCCACGGUCUGAUCGGCUGGUUGCUGUGACCGUGGCAGCAGCCUGGUGUGGUGUCCCACGUGUUUUUGGGAGCAAGAAUUGGCAUCUGUUGAGGGGGAUGUCUGGGACCCAUGUUUGUCCCUGUGGGACAGAACGGCAGCCCCACCAUCAGAGGCGUGACACGAGCAGCAUCUCCGGUUCAAACUCCUCUGAUGGCUUCUGCUGCCUCGGUCCAGGGGUGCAACCUUGCAGCAACCCUCCCCCAAAAUCCAGUAUCAUAGAGAGAGUUUAUUGAGUGAUGAAGGAGCAAUUACCAGCUCAGCUGGAGGCAGAGUUGCUCCUGUUUGGUUUUGCAAGAAGAAAG
Molecule: long non-coding RNA, 1242 nt
Organism: Calidris pugnax (ruff)
Lineage: Eukaryota; Metazoa; Chordata; Aves; Charadriiformes; Scolopacidae
Exons: 3
Source: RefSeq, a predicted model, not a curated record